RNAcentral lists this ribosomal RNA (425 nucleotides) under uncultured bacterium. Its description in RNAcentral is "partial 16S ribosomal RNA". It matches the Rfam family "Bacterial small subunit ribosomal RNA", at positions 354 to 796 of the family's 1533-position model. The record is from RNAcentral.
GUGGGGAAUCUUGCGCAAUGGGCGAAAGCCUGACGCAGCCAUGCCGCGUGAAUGAUGAAGGUCUUAGGAUUGUAAAAUUCUUUCACCGGGGACGAUAAUGACGGUACCCGGAGAAGAAGCCCCGGCUAACUUCGUGCCAGCAGCCGCGGUAAUACGAAGGGGGCUAGCGUUGCUCGGAAUUACUGGGCGUAAAGGGCGCGUAGGCGGACAGUUUAGUCAGAGGUGAAAGCCCAGGGCUCAACCUUGGAAUUGCCUUUGAUACUGGCUGUCUUGAGUACGGGAGAGGUGAGUGGAACUCCGAGUGUAGAGGUGAAAUUCGUAGAUAUUCGGAAGAACACCAGUGGCGAAGGCGACUCACUGGCCCGUUACUGACGCUGAGGUGCGAAAGCGUGGGGAGCAAACAGGAUUAGAAACCCUUGUAGUCC